CUCUGAUCUCUUACGCAGAUCAACUACAGAAGGAAGCCUCGUGAAAUCGUUGCAUGAAGACGGACAGGUAAGAAACAUAUCAGCUUCCUGCAGAGCUGCAGAGGUGAACGGUGUCGAUAUGUGGUGGUAGGAAACCGUCAACUCAAACACUGACGUUGGUAUAAACUUGGACAAUCUCUGACUGAAAUCUAUCUGUAGUGCAACUUUAAAAUCUCCUGUGUGCAUUUUAUUCUUCAGGUGCGGUGGAUUCCCUCUAACGACAGGUAACAUUGUCUUUGUACUCGAUACGUAAAUCUCAAGUAGCACUUUCCUGUUGAGUACUUCAACUCAAAAUAAAUACCUUAAAAUGAAUCGCUCCACCCUGAAGUCCAUAUUAAGGCCAUAACAAACAGACCUUACUUACAACACAACACAACAUCUUCCCUGUAGGUUCGACUGCCUGGUUCAUGUAACCGUCAUCCCCUGCACAGACGUGGCCACCGUGCAACACGAGAUGCAAGCCAACCUGAGCAACGCCUACAACCACCCGAGUGGUGUUCUUCAGCUGCUGGCUGAUCCAGAGAGCAUUCAAACUACAGCUGUGGAACGUUUCGAUGCUGCCACCAUCAGUCCUGCAGGUCCUGGUGUCGUGGUGACGAGUCCCUCUCCGGUCACAACUACCACGUUUAAAACCACAACAUUUGUUACCACCACCACCCUCUACACCUCCACCUCCUCCUCCACCAGUCCCUCCACCACCCCCCUCUACACCUCCACCUCCUCCUCCACCAGUCCCUCCACCACCACCCUCUACACCUCCACCUCCUCCUCCACCAGUCCCUCCACCACCACCCUCUACACCUCCACCUCCUCCUCCACCAGUCCCUCCACCACCACCCUCUACACCUCCACCUCCACCUCCUCCUCCACCAGUCCCUCCACCACCCCCCUCUACACCUCCACCUCCACCUCCUCCUCCACCAGUCCCUCCACCAGCGCAGCCACGACGCCUGCAAACAUCUCUGGUCAGUUAACCACGUGUGGAUUUUCAUCAUUACUUUUGGAAAGUGACUAA
Molecule: long non-coding RNA, 1054 nt
Filed under: Sparus aurata (gilthead seabream)
Lineage: Eukaryota; Metazoa; Chordata; Actinopteri; Spariformes; Sparidae
Description: lncRNA (ENSSAUG00010009837.1)
Source: RNAcentral